Apis laboriosa (Himalayan honeybee) is the source of this 956-nucleotide long non-coding RNA. RefSeq lists it as uncharacterized. The transcript is spliced from 3 exons. Lineage: Eukaryota; Metazoa; Arthropoda; Insecta; Hymenoptera; Apidae. The record is from RefSeq and is a predicted model, not a curated record.
GUUUGAAAUGUUUAGGUCAACGUUGCCUUUCAAAGAACAGUAUAACGGAUAAGCGAGUUUGCGGUUUUGCAGGAUCACAUUUAAUCAUAGAUUUUGUAAUCAAUAUCGAAACGUGGUUUUCAUAAAAAUGAUAACAUUCGAGCGAUUUCUACAUCGAUUAUUUGUAAAUCGAAAUCGGAUAUAAUUGUGGAGAUAUCUUAAAUUUAAUGCUUUAUAGAUAGAAUAUCGCUACAUCGACAUCAAAGAAAAAUCAUCAAAUCGCUGUAUAUUAUCACUGAUAAUUGUAAUUAAAAUAGCAAUUAAUCGAGAAACUUAUAUAUUUUGUAACAUAUAAAAAGAUAAAUAAAAAAAUAGAAAAAAAAAUAUAGAAAAAGUAUUACAAGUAUGCUGAGUAAAUAUUCAAGCAUAUGAUAUUCUUUAAUGCUUAGAAUUUAUGGCAACUGUAAAAAAAAAAAAGAAAAAAUAAUAUAAGUUUACUGAGAUGUAAAUAUUCAGAUAUUCAUCAGUUAUAAAUUCUUAAUUAAUUUAUCGAAGUUAUAAUAGAAAUUGCACAGGAAUACCAAAGAUCGUAAAUUCGUGAGUUUAUAGCAAAGAUAAGAUAUAUAAAAUCCACGUUUAAUUAACAAAAUUCUUUUAGACACACCUAUGAAAUAAUGGCAAAUUAAAAAAUCUAUUAACAAGUGUACACCGAGCAUACUUGCUGUUACUAAUUUAACAUUUAGAUGAUUGUAGAUUAUAUUUCUGUUACAAUAUUUAACAAUCUAUUAUAAGCCAAUUCACGCGUCACUUGUAUGAAUUUCUAUUAUAUCAAUCAUCUCUUAAUACCAGCAAUCACUUCCAAUCAGUAUCAUCUUAAUUAAGUAAUGGCAAAUCGAUGCUUUGAGACGAUUGAACGUUACACUCCUAAAAAAAUAUUUAUUAUUUCACGUCUUCUUAUUUCAAGGAAGAGUUCAUAU